UCCGAGUUGACCCCGGCAGUCUCCUGCGAGUCCCCGCCAUUACGCGCUGGCAACACAGGACAAGGGUUGCGCUCGUUGCGGGACUUAACCCAACAUCUCACGACACGAGCUGACGACAACCAUGCACCACCUGUCACCGCUGUCCCCGAAGGGAAAGGCUUAUCUCUAAACCGGUCAGCGGGAUGUCAAGACCUGGUAAGGUUCUUCGCGUUGCUUCGAAUUAAACCACAUGCUCCACCGCUUGUGCGGGCCCCCGUCAAUUCCUUUGAGUUUCAGUCUUGCGACCGUACUCCCCAGGCGGGCACUUAAUGCGUUAGCUACGGCGCGGAAAACGCGGAAUGUCCCCCACACCUAGUGCCCAACGUUUACGGCAUGGACUAC
This 381-nucleotide unclassified non-coding RNA is filed under the name uncultured bacterium. Its description in RNAcentral is "contains 16S-23S intergenic spacer region". The record is from RNAcentral.